RNAcentral lists this ribosomal RNA (490 nucleotides) under uncultured bacterium. Its description in RNAcentral is "partial 16S ribosomal RNA". It matches the Rfam family "Bacterial small subunit ribosomal RNA", at positions 30 to 507 of the family's 1533-position model. The record is from RNAcentral.
AUUGAACGCUGGCGGCAGGCCUAACACAUGCAAGUCGAACGGUAACAGGCAGACGCUUGCUUCUUUGCUGACGAGUGGCGGACGGGUGAGUAAUGUCUGGGAAACUGUCUGAUGGAGGGGGAUAACUACUGGAAACGGUAGCUAAUACCGCAUAACGUCACAAGACCAAAGAGGGGGACCUUCGGGCCUCUUGUCAGCGGAUGUGCCCAGAUGGGAUUAGCUAGUAGGUGGGGUAACGGCUCACCUAGGCGACGAUGCGUAGCUGGUCUGAGAGGAUGACCAGCCACACUGGAACUGAGACACGGACCAGACUCCUACGGGAGGCAGCAGUGGGGAAUAUUGGACAAUGGGCGCAAGCCUGAUACAGCCAUGCCGAGUGUAUGAAGAAGGCCUUCGGGUUGUAAAGUACUUUCAGCGGGGAGGAAGGGAGUAAAGUUAAUACCUUAGCUCAUUGACGUUACCCGCGGAAGAAGCACCGGCUAACUCCGUG